UUUGUAGGUGGCUUGCUAAGUCAGACGUGAAAUCCCUCAGCUUAACUGGGGAACUGCGUCUGAGACUGGCAAGCUUGAGUGCAGGAGAGGAACGCGGAAUUCCAGGUGUAGCGGUGAAAUGCGUAGAUAUCUGGAGGAACACCGGUGGCGAAGGCGGCGUUCUGGACUGUAACUGACACUGAUGAACGAAAGCCAGGGGAGCAAC
This 205-nucleotide ribosomal RNA is filed under the name uncultured bacterium. Its description in RNAcentral is "partial 16S ribosomal RNA". It matches the Rfam family "Bacterial small subunit ribosomal RNA", at positions 568 to 772 of the family's 1533-position model. The record is from RNAcentral.